GAUGAACGCUGGCGGCGUGCUUAACACAUGCAAGUCGAACGGGAAGGCCAGUGCUUGCACUGGUACUCGAGUGGCGAACGGGUGAGUAACACGUGGGUGAUCUGCCCUGCACUUCGGGAUAAGCCUGGGAAACUGGGUCUAAUACCGGAUAGGACAAUGGUUUGGAUGCCGUUGUGGAAAGUUUUUUCGGUGUGGGAUGAGCUCGCGGCCUAUCAGCUUGUUGGUGGGGUAAUGGCCUACCAAGGCGUCGACGGGUAGCCGGCCUGAGAGGGUGUACGGCCACAUUGGGACUGAGAUACGGACCAGACUCCUACGGGAGGCAGCAGUGGGGAAUAUUGCACAAUGGGCGCAAGCCUGAUGCAGCGACGCCGCGUGGGGGAUGACGGCCUUCGGGUUGUAAACUCCUUUCGCUAGGGACGAAGCGUAUUUGUGACGGUACCUGGAGAAGAAGCACCGGCUAACUACGUG
RNAcentral lists this ribosomal RNA (468 nucleotides) under uncultured bacterium. RNAcentral's name for it is "partial 16S ribosomal RNA". It matches the Rfam family "Bacterial small subunit ribosomal RNA", at positions 28 to 507 of the family's 1533-position model. The record is from RNAcentral.